GCUAGAAGCCAUAUCACACUGCAACACACUGCCCACUGGAGCUCAGCAGGUGUGAGCCUGGUCAGUACCUGGAUGGGAGACCUCCUGGGAAAGCUAAGGCUGCUGCUGGAA
Molecule: ribosomal RNA, 111 nt
Filed under: Lepisosteus oculatus (spotted gar)
Lineage: Eukaryota; Metazoa; Chordata; Actinopteri; Semionotiformes; Lepisosteidae
Source: RNAcentral